UUUUUUUUUUUUUUUUUUUUUUUUUUUUUUUUUUUUUUUUUUAAUCA
This 47-nucleotide non-coding RNA is filed under the name Alexandrium minutum. Lineage: Eukaryota; Dinophyceae; Gonyaulacales; Pyrocystaceae. The record is from RNAcentral.